This is a long non-coding RNA of Amphiprion ocellaris (clown anemonefish), 1922 nucleotides long. The record is from Ensembl. NCBI's taxonomy places the organism in Eukaryota, Metazoa, Chordata, Actinopteri, Pomacentridae.
UCAUGGUAAUAAAGUUGAAGCAUGGGAAAGAAAUGUACAGGACAUCAGUCAUCUCCUUUCAAUCAGUGACAUCCAUCCAUCCUGACAGUCCUGGGACAAAACAUCUAUUCUUCAUCAGUACCGCUCAAAAUAAGAACAAGAACCUUUGCGUCAUUGCCUGCCACAGUGGAAAUCGAAACACACACUCCUGGCAGACUCUAAAGGCUUUCAGUAAAAUGUCACUUCUUUUUGUCUCAGGGGUGUCGGGACAGUACUCUUCUCUCCAGCCCCAUCUUUAGACAAUCUGUCACAUUCUGGCGAAAAGUAUCUACACAUUUUACAUGUAAUAUAAAACCAAUGAAAAGCAAAAGAACAAAAAUACAAAUGUAACACCAGACUUGCUCACCACCAAGAUCUUAUAACUUUCUCAAGUCUUUUCAUACCUGGAGUUACAAGCUGGACUAAGGCUUUUUCAUAUCAUACAAUCCUCGUUUUAUCCCGUCUCCCUCCUCCUCUUUUCACAUUCAGUAAACGUGUUCUCAGUCUCACCUCGGUAAGACGGUAACAAGUGUGCUGAAAAAUAGGAAUACAUUUUUCUGUUAUAAUUCAUCGGCAGUCUCUAUCCUCCAUCCUUUUUUUUUCCUCUAUAAAGCAAAGCUGAAGGCAAAACAAACACUUAACACGACAACACAGACGGACACAUUGAUGGACAAAAAGCAGCCUCGCUCCCAUCAUCAAAUUCACUGCAGACUCUCUCCCAUUUACUCCCUCUGAUCCUCUCCCUGGUCCAUGUUUAAGCAUUCUCCUGUCUCAUCUAUGUAUUAUAGGCCUGAAUACACUUUGUGUUCGUCUCCAUGUUUGUGUACAUAUUUAUUGAUAAUAAAGAACACCAUAAGCAGCAGAUGUAGCUCUCAAACAUUAGCAGAUUGAUACUUUUUUUAAUUUUAUCACAGGUGUAAACCACAGAAUAAUUGAAAUUUAGUCCAUUUUGUGCACUCUGAUGUUUUUUUUAAAUAUAUAUAUAUUUUUUUUGCAAGUUUGGCCUCCAAGUGGAUGGCAGGUGAAUAUGAGUGAAGAAGGGGUGGGGCCUGUGUGUUGUUUCACCCACCUCCCUCUCUGGCCACACCCUGGCAGCCUAGAGUUUGUUUGUCUCACUGAUUUUCCCAUCAUCUCAGCAAGCUUUAACACUGGGCAUGCUCACAGCGCAUACUGACAGACACACGGACGCCUUCGAUCCCCCUUUAAAGGGCCUGUAAUGCCACCUCUGCCUCCUGCUCCUCUUCUCCUCCUUCACUCAUUCAUGUUUUCAUUCAUCCAUUUGAAAAGUAAGGGGUAUUUGAUACCCUGCAGCUGCUGAACCACAAGAGACACAACAAAGAAGAGAAAGGUUAGUUUUUGGGGUUAAAUAAAGGAACAAUUACCAACAAGCAAAUUUAGUUUUUGAGUUUGCUGUUCUGCGAUUACUGUAAAUUACUGUUUUUGAUUUUCCAGAAUGGUUUCAACAAAAUACAGAUGUUUGUGAACACUGAGUUUUAUGACUCCACAUGAAUGGCUUAUUCAGUGAGAAACAUGCUUUUGUGCUUUGAUUUACAUUCUCUAUAGAGGGCGUGCACUGAGGCCACUUUUGCAAUAUCAGUCAGACAAAUGCAGUUAGUCUGGAACCUCUUUUCAAUUUCCAAGGGGUGUUCAGAGCAAAUAAACAUGUCACAUAGCGCUGAGUAACAGAAAAAUGUAAACAGUGCACUUGCUAGUUCUUCUUUUAGAGUAAAUAUACCAUGUCCAGUUCUUUUAAUACUGACUGCUUUGAAAGACUGUCAUAUAUCAGCAUCUGCCAUCUUGUUUUCUUACAAAAGUUCCUCAGUGCUCCUCUGUGCAACCAGACGCAUUCUGCCAGAGCAAAUGAAACAUGAGGUCCUCGAAUCAUUUGGUGCACAGGCUUCAUU